GGGAGUGCCAGAUCCUGGGCUGUGUCCCCCAGCGCCCUGGGCUCUGGGGCCUGCACAGCUGGAAAUGCGCUCCCAGGUCCACACAGCCUCCU
This 92-nucleotide microRNA precursor is filed under the name Canis lupus dingo (dingo). Its description in RNAcentral is "mir-8799 microRNA precursor family". It matches the Rfam family "mir-8799 microRNA precursor family". The record is from Rfam by way of RNAcentral. Lineage: Eukaryota; Metazoa; Chordata; Mammalia; Carnivora; Canidae.